ACUGCAGCAACAACAACAGCUGCUGCCGCUGCCACUCCCCUCGUUGUUACUGCGUGUGCUAGGCGUUGAGGAGUGUCUCUCUCUACUCCACUCCGUCGGACCUCCUUGUUGUUCUUUUAUUUUCCGUUGAAUCUAGCACUCCACCUCCUGUACCGUUUCGUGUCUUCCAUUCCUGUCGGCUGUGAUCGCAGCACGCGCGUAGCGGUCAUUGGCGGUUGAGUAGAACAUCCUCAACUCAAAGAGACGCUUCGUCGCUGCAGAUACGUAUGGACCUCUUCCCUACGCUGUUGCCCGGCGCCCUACUUCUUAGCUCCAUCAAAUAGCCCCCCCCCUCCCCCCUCUUGGAAGUAUGCUGCGCACGUCUCUCGUCGCACGCCGCACUGCUGCUGAGGCUACCGGGGCGCCGGUCUCGUACAGGCAUCAAGAGAAGAUUCGUCUCUACCGUAGCUUGCUGAAAGGGGCCCACGGCUUUCCGAUGCGCUCGCGCCGCGAUGUCAUUACCGAGGAGGUGCGGAGUACCUUCCGCGACCCGAACAACGAGAUGCUGAGUGAGAAGGACAUUGACUACCGACUCAUCCUUGGAUGGGAGCGGGCCAAGUCGAUCAAGACGUACGCGGAGAACAUGCACUGGUUUCACUCGCGCGACGAGGUGACGAAGGAGAUGAUGUACUUCUCCGAAGAGCGGGAUCGCAAGAAGGCGGCGGAGAUGCGCCGCUUCAACCAGGUCGGUGACAUCCGCUGCAAAACUGAGGAGGUGACGGAGUUCAAGUCGACCUACUACAACGUCCACCCCGAUUACCACUCCAAAAUUGGCCAGAAGCCGCUGACUCACUCACGGGACGUGUGGCGUGCACGCGGGCAGUACGGCUCGGACGUGGGUGGGCCGCGGCAGAAGUUUUUUGUGCGUCGCUUCAAGGCCAUGUUUCCUCAAGGCUGGUGAGUGGGUCAAAGGGGCGAGGCUGAGAGAGAGGGAGGGGAGAAGUGGCGAGGAGGUGGCGAGUUGAGCGUUGGGUCAGGGAAGGGGAGAGGGUGGCGCGGGAUGCGUGAGCUCGUGACGCUAGUUCUUGCUGAAUGUGCAGUAGCUGGAGGUGGGGGGGGCAUGCAUCGAGUGACGCACACGUCGUGGGUGUGUUCAUUGCGUUGUUUCAACCCUCCUCGCCCCCUGAGCCCCUCUCCAUGGACGCCCAACGCGCACUCCCUCUUGCUCGCUACUCUUGUUUUUUUUUGUUUGUUUCCUUACUGCUAUCUUCUGUAUCCCUCUCUCUCUUCGUGCGUGUGCCUGUGGUGAUGUGUCUGCGGAUGCCUGCGGCUCUCCCUCCCUCGAGUCCCGUGCUCGCGUACGUGCCUGGGUUUGUAUGUGGUGAGGGUAGACGCCCUUUUACAGCGCAUUGACUGGUGAUGAUUCGGCCCUCGUUGUCUGUCUCGCUGUCCCUUCCCCCUCCUCCUGAGAGCAGUGCGCCAAGCGCGUCGAAGAC
Molecule: unclassified non-coding RNA, 1475 nt
Filed under: Leishmania donovani
Lineage: Eukaryota; Euglenozoa; Kinetoplastea; Trypanosomatida; Trypanosomatidae
Description: gene:LdHU3.13.1480(CDS-product:Complex1_LYR-like/ Complex_1_protein_(LYR_family)_putative)
Source: RNAcentral